CUACCACGCGAGUGGAUGCCAAUCCCAAAAACCUCUCUCAGUUCGGACUGGAGUCUGCAACCCGACUCCACGAAGCUGGAUUCGCUAGUAAUCGCGCAUCAGCCACGGCGCGGUGAAUACGUUCCCGGGCCUUGUACACACCGCCCGUCACACCAUGGGAGUUGGAAGCACCCGAAGUCGGUGACCUGACCGUAAGGAGGGAGCCGCCGAAAGUGAAGCCAGCGACUGGGGUGAAGUCGUAACAAGGUAAC
This 251-nucleotide ribosomal RNA is filed under the name uncultured bacterium. RNAcentral describes it as "partial 16S ribosomal RNA". It matches the Rfam family "Bacterial small subunit ribosomal RNA", at positions 1250 to 1500 of the family's 1533-position model. The record is from RNAcentral.